Molecule: RNA transcript, 2792 nt
Organism: Chroicocephalus ridibundus (black-headed gull)
Lineage: Eukaryota; Metazoa; Chordata; Aves; Charadriiformes; Laridae
Gene: GTF2E2
Gene name: general transcription factor IIE subunit 2
Exons: 8
Source: RefSeq, a predicted model, not a curated record
GUAGCGAGGGGCGGGCGCCCGCGGGGUCGCUGCCGGGCCUCGCUGCCGAAGCGUCUCCACCCCGUGUGGGUGACUUUAAAGUUUAUCGUUAAGGCCGGGUGUCUCUGAGGCGGGUGGGUGGUGGCGGCGUGCAGCCAACGGGCUUCCCCCCUCCCCCCCCCGGCGCUGCUCCGCGUCGGUGUCAAUCCCGUUCUAAAGUCCGCGAAUUCCGGCUCGGAAAUGGCGUUCUCUACCGUCAGGUCCUGCCCUGGGGGUUAAGGGUGCGUUUUGGCACUUUAAAUCCCCAGACAUCUCAGUUUUUAAAGUCCACGCACAGGAAGAGCGGGAUACAAACAACUUCACAAACGCGUAUCUCCCCUUCUAAAUACCCUAUUAAUUCAAAUAUCACUUUCUUGCUUUUUGCCACCUCCUCCUCCUCGCAGAAUUAUGGAUCCAAGUUUACUGAGAGAGCGAGAGCUCUUCAAAAAGCGUGCCCUCUCCACACCAGCAGUAGAAAAACGUCCAGCGCCAUCUUCUGACUCCUCCUCUUCAAAAAAGAAGAAAGCAAAGGUAGAACAAGGUGGCUCCUCCAGCUCAAAACAAAAUACAGAUCACAGCAAUGGAUCAUUUAACUUGAAAGCCCUUUCAGGAGGCUCUGGCUACAAGUUUGGAGUCCUCGCUAAAAUAGUGAAUUAUAUGAAGACUCGGCACCAGCGUGGUGAUACACAUCCACUAACCCUAGAAGAGAUUUUGGAUGAAACUCAGCAUUUAGAUAUUGGACUCAAACAGAAGCAAUGGUUAAUGAGCGAGGCUCUAGUCAACAAUCCGAAAAUAGAAGUUGUAGAUGGGAAGUAUGCUUUCAAACCCAAGUACAACUUGAAAGAUAAAAAGGCUCUGCUCAGGCUCUUGGACAAGCAUGACCAGCGAGGGCUGGGAGGAAUCCUGUUAGAAGAUAUUGAGGAAGGGCUGCCCAAUGCACAGAAAGCUAUAAAGGGGACCAGAUCAUCUUUGUUAAUCGUCCUGAUAAGAAGAAAAUUCUUUUCUACAAUGACAAGAGCUGUCAGUUUACUGUGGAUGAAGUUUAUUAAUCAUGUGCCUUUUAUUGGUGAACGCGACGAGAAGCCACAAACGGAAGAGAAGAAGGAAGCAAACAGGGAGGAGAUAAUUUCAGAAGCUGUGGAGGAGCAUUCCCGUGGAUUCUAUGGAUGAGGAGAAAAUUGAAGAGUAUCUGAAACGACAGGGUAUUUCUUCCAUGCAAGAAACUGGACCAAAGAAAAUAGCUCCUAUUCAGAGGAGGAAGAAACCAGCUUCUCAGAAGAAACGUCGAUUUAAGACUCACAAUGACCACUUGGCUGGAGUAUUAAAAGAUUACUCUGAUGUCGUUCCUGGCAAACAGUGACCGGUUGAAUUCUGGAGCAAACAUGCGUUUUUAUAAAGGCUUUUUGCCACUCGGGCUCCGUGUCUGCUCGCAGAAAGACUGACUGUAUAUAGUAAUGUGAUGUGUUUUCCCCCAUCCCAGCAGCUGCCGAGAUGAAGCAGGUCGGUUUAAGAGCAAGUAUGAACUACUAAAUUUAGAGUUUAAUUUAAUUAGCUAAUGGGAAAUGUGUCUUUAAGUAAGAGGUUCUCUCGCUAGUUGCCUCUUGGCAUUAGAGUGAUAAUGGUGCUCAGCAUGUAAUGCAGGAGUUCCUGUUCAGUGCUUAACUCUGCUUUUACAUUGCUUAAUGGGUAUGUACCUGGAAUUAGGAGGGGCUUUCUAGCAGAAUCGAAUACAGCGUUUGUUUUACCUAUUUCAGGAAAACCUUUUCCUAAAAUCACUGCAGGCAAGUUUUCUUUCACAGUCAAAUACACCCACGGUUGGUAUGCUUCUUCCUUGCCAUGGGACUGAGCUGUACUGAACGGCUGUGAUAUCUGAGGCUCAAACUCAGAAAUAUCCCGCUCCCACGCUCCCAGUGGGCUGCAGGAUGGCAGUGCAGCUGUGGCUUCCUAAUGCUAAUCAGAAAUUGCCCUCGGCGAUUUCUCGUGGCUGUAGUGGAUGCACGUGCGUUGCACAAUUCUACUCUAUGGACAGGAGGGAAAUAAAAUGACAGUGUAAUACUGAAGCAAUAUUUUUUUUUUUUUUUAAGUAAUAAACUUACAAUGCUGGUUUCCAGUGUUGCUUCCUUAAAGAAUGAGAGAAUGAACAUCUUUUGUGCUUGCUGCGUUUUCGUUUUCAAGGAGGUAAAGGAAUCUUUGCUAUAUUUUUGUCUUCUCGAUGACUUAUUAUUCUGGGCUGACACUGUCAUCUUUUUAUCAUUCUUGGUUGUGGAGGGGGAAGGAGCCACCUUAAAUGAAAGCUCCUUGUAGAUGCCUGAUGUUCUAUGCAGUACAGACUAACGUGGAACAUGGCCAGAUUAUGUCCUCUUGAUAACUUCUUUUUAUGUACUGAACCAGAGUCAAUCAAUGCUGAUGUUGUUUUCAUGGCACUGCGGGCGAGGAGCUGUUUUUCUGCUCUUCUAGGGUUAGGAUCAAAGAUGAAAUAGGUGACUGCGAUAUCCCACCGACAGUAGGUUGCUGCUGCGCGCACGUGAGCUGUUGUCUUGCUUGACGUAUCGGGGGUUGAAGCAGAGGCCGUUGGAUCUGGACGCACGAACAAAUGAAGAAUAAGGCUUUGUUGCUGUCACAUUGAACGAGUUAUGUCUGCUUGGGGAAGCACAGGAGGAGGAAUAUACUUGUGUAAGUGUAGCGUUUAUCCUCUUGAUUUUAAAGACUGCUCUUUUGAGAAAGAGACGAUACUUCCAGCAUUGCACAUCAGCCCUGUGUGAAGAGUUGCUAAG